Molecule: long non-coding RNA, 3918 nt
Organism: Dromaius novaehollandiae (emu)
Lineage: Eukaryota; Metazoa; Chordata; Aves; Casuariiformes; Dromaiidae
Exons: 2
Source: RefSeq, a predicted model, not a curated record
CUCCCAGUUUGGUGAAGCUCCCCAUGUGAUCCAUUCUUCCCCCUAAAUAAAGUUGAAAAAUUUGGCUGGGAUCAGAGAGUGCUGCUGAGGUAGCUGGUGUGUGCAGCUAUUCCACCCUCCCCAAGUCUGCAGCACGAAUAACGCGCCUGUUCAGCACUAUCUGCCUCUCGGUUGUGAAGACCAAGGGGGACGAGAGCGGGCACUUAACAGGGUGUCGGGCUACCUCCACGAUGGGGCUUCGCCGUGGGCUCUCAGCCUUGCCACCCCCGGGCAGCCUCCCCUUGUGAAAGUAGCCCGGCGGGCUGAGGAAGAUGUGGCCGGAGAAGGUCAUUUUUCCAGACUCCAGCUUUGCAAAUCAGUGAGGACGUCUCCUAAACUCCAGCAUAACAAGAACAAAAACCCCAAACCAAAAUCUUCUCCAGACAAGCCAAGUCUGAGAGCAAGUAUCAAAGAAGAGGGGAAAAUAAAAACCCUUCAUUAAAAUGAGAGAUCCUGUUUUGUAGCUGAUUUUGUUAAUGCCUAUGAUGUUAGCAAAACCAAACCUGCCCCUCGGUAAAAAAUCUGCCUUUGAUUUCACUCUCUUUUGGGAAUACUUGAGGGAGGAAAAAACUCUCACUGAACAAAUUCAUAAGAUAUAAACUGCACUUAUUGCAGUGCUCACUUUUGUUUUAAGCCUGAGGAUGAGCCCUGCCACCACAAUGUUCCUGGAAAAUUGAUUUCAUUUUCUUCAAUUAUCUGCUCAAGAAAACAAAGAAUCAAACCGGCAGUCAGCUAAGCAGCUUUUUCCCCUCUAGAUAGAGAGGGCAACAGUACACACGAGUUUCUGGCUUACACGCUGUUUGGAUAUAGAUGACCUGCAUUGUAAACUUUGUGACACAUCCUGUUAUUCCUAUGCUGCAUGGCUUCAUAAACGAACAAAGCUGCUGAGCCUCCUCUAUGCCUGGAGCACCCAGGGAAACACUGUCUUAUGAAUGACACGGGUGACAAGGGAAUCGCAGCUCUUGCUUCUUCCAAAGUUUUGACCGAGUGAGAACCACUACUGAAUCCCAAUGAGGCCCAAAUUCAAAGAAGUUCCUGUACCCGCACUUUUGGCCUCAACAGAAUAUGAAAACUUUACUAAACUAAACACAACAAGAGACAUGGAAACUAAGCAGCUAGAGGGGUCCCUCUCAUCUACUAUUGCACUGAUAAUAGUGCUGAUUAUUAUUUUCUCUUUGAUAAUGACAUCCCUACUAACCUACUGUUUUCACAAGUGGAAACUAAGAGGUAAAAAACUGCAGAAAGCACAAGAGGAGUAUCAGAAAGACCAUGAAAAGAGCAUUUUUCAAAGCACGUCUGGACUUGUUUCAUAAAAAAUGGAUCCAACAUGGAACAGCCUUGCAUUGCUGGAAAAUGAAAAUAAUAAAAGAAUGGCAACUAUGAAAUUCCCAAACAAAUAUAUCUUGUUUUAUCUCAUUUAUAAGAGGUGUUAGCAGUUUGGAGAUUUCCUACAGCUUUAUUAUACAUAUAUAUUAUAUAUAUAUAUAUAUAUAUAUAUAUUCAGUCUCAUUUGUGCAAGGUAAAAAAUCAACACAACCAUGUAUUUUUAAUCUUUACUGUAUUACUAGAACAGUAACCUAAAAUCUGUUGCUCCAGCUCUUUCAAAAAUCCACUGAUCUGUGGAAGGCAAAGGGUCACAUUUUGAUGAGUGCAGACCAACACAGAUGAUGAUAACCAAUGGAGCUAUGUUGUCUCGCACUAAUCCAAUUACCCGUCCGAAGAUUUUGAAAUGCAACUGGAGUCCUACGUAAAUCAGAUUCACAGAGUUUCAGCAAGUAGUAGCCUGACCCUGCAAGCCUUUAGCUGAAGAACUCAUGUCUUCAGCAACAGCUCAAUCAUGCAGGAUCAAGCUCUAAAUUUGCUAACAGGUUGUAAGUCAAUGCUUCUCUUGCAUAAGGUUCAGUGCUGAGAGGUGCUAGUGGCAUUCCCACUGUAAGUGGAUUAAGGACAUUCAACGACACAGAAUGGGACCUAAGUUAAAGGGAAGAGCAAGCCUAAUACACCUUUUUAACUUGGCUUGUAAUUAUUUUUAACCAACCAUACAAUGGUGUGUUUCUAUUUUCAUAGCCUGUAUUAUUAUGUCAUAGAAAAAUGACAGCUCAAUUGUGUGUAGCAUAUAUACGUAAUAUUUUCUAACAAAGUGUUGGCUGCAAUAUUAAUAUAAGUAAUUGUUUGAAAAGUAGAAAACAUGUAAAUUUACAAACAAAACCCUGCUCAAGUAUAUAGCUUGCUUGCAACUACCAUUAAAGCUGUAUGUAUUUUUAAACAAGCUAUAAUACUGUGAUGAUGGUGUAAACUUACUUCUGUAGGCAAAAAAAAUGUUCUAUUUAAAAGUGUCAAGAAAAUGAAGGAUCUAAAUGUUCUUAAAGUGCUAUGAACUAAAAAUAUGAAUUUUCGCAGAAUAUUCUAAAGGACUCUGUUACAUGCUAUAAAUAUAUUUUACAACAUAUUUAUGAAUCAUACACACUAUUCUAUGUGAGAACAAACAGUACUAUUUUAUUACAAAAUAAAUAAAUAAGCUAUGAAUAUCCAUGCCCAAAAGCUGGAUAAUGGUUUUUCUAAGUUCCCCUGAUCAACUCUAUAGGCAAUUUGAAAGAUAAAGGACCUGCUACCUUACUGACAAAAGGGAUACACUCCCCCCUCAUUUCCCAGCCUGCCCCCAUAUAGAUCAUGUUGCUGUUUGUUCAGGCAAAGAUCUCCAGAGUCACAGUUGUGCUGGAAAAAGGAACAGUUUGCCAGUUGAAUACAAACAAUGCAAAUGUAGUGUUCAUAAGAUUAAUACAGGUAUUCACAAAAUUUAAAGUUUUUUCUCUCUCUAAAAAAAAAGUUGCAUUUAGAACAGCACCUCUGUUGCAUGCAGUAACACUAUGCACAUAGUAUAGCAUCUAGGUUAGUUUUUAUUGAGUGGAGACAAAACGUCAUCUUUGAAAAUCAUACUGAGUAGUAAAAAAGUUACAAUUUGUAGAAUGCAAGUAUAUUUCAAAAUGCUUUAAGAAAUACAUAGCCAGAAGCAUUCCAGUAUUGCUGGUACCUGCAUAUAUGAUUCAGAAUCAUUGCACUGAAAUCAACAGUUCAGAUUUGCACUGAAGAAGAACCUGGGCGCUGUCAGCUAACAGCUUCACAGGGGGGCACCAUCCCUGCUUCCAGCAGGAAAACUGCAUCCUCAGUGCCACUAGUUCAAAGCUUUUGUCAAGAUCUCAGGAAGCAUAAAUGGGUUCAGCUCCACUUCUUGGAAGUUGAUCAAAUUGGCUGUAGUAAAUUUUCUUUUUUUUUUUUUGGCCACAAUAAAACUAUGGUUGGGAAAGGGAUUUAUGAAAAGGCAGUGGCCCCAAGGGAGCCUCGAGCACCUCACUCUCCUAGUGAGGCUUCAGAGGAAAGAUUCAAGAUUGUUACAAGGAUUACUGGACCAGGGAGAAUUAUGUACUUCACUGGUGUUUGGAAACUGGUUAUCCAGACAUGUUCAUCUUUGUGCCCAGUUCAUAACCAGGCAAGUUAAUUGUGAUAAAGCAUCACUCUCAUUCAAACACAUGCUAGUAACCUAUUCUGAAUGAGAUGGAAGUUUAUCCUAGGGCAGAAAGAAACACAAAUUCCAGCGUCAUAACAGGUGGCUAGAAACAAGAUUGAGUCUGGAAGCCAGGUUAACUGCUUCCAUAGAGAAAGCCGGGGCAAGCGAAAGCAGAAAUUAUACUGCCACAGUCCAUGGGAAACUGAUUUUAAUGGUAAUUUGAGGAAUAUAAUUUUCUCCAAACGGUCAAUAAUAAAGUAUAACAUCACCAAACCUGUUCUCAGUGUACAUGUAAUUUAAACAAUGUAUAUAUGAAAAACCCUUCUGUAUUUGUGCAGAGCUCAGAGCAAUAAACUCUAAUACAUCGCAAAUCA